AACUCCUACGGGACGCAGCAGUGGGGAAUAUUGCACAAUGGGGGAAACCCUGAUGCAGCGACGCCGCGUGAGUGAAGAAGUAUCUCGGUACGUAAAUCUCUAUCAGCAGGGAAGAAAAAAAGUCUUUGGCUUUGGACGGUACCUGACUAAGAAGCCCCGGCUAACUACGUGCCAGCAGCCGCGGUAAUACGUAGGGGGCAAGCGUUAUCCGGAUUUACUGGGUGUAUAGGGAGCGUAGACGGCAGCGCAAGUCUGGAGUGAAAUGCCGGGGCUCAACCCCGGAACUGCCUCUAAUACUGUUGAAC
RNAcentral lists this ribosomal RNA (305 nucleotides) under uncultured bacterium. Its description in RNAcentral is "bacterial SSU rRNA". It matches the Rfam family "Bacterial small subunit ribosomal RNA", at positions 334 to 641 of the family's 1533-position model. The record is from RNAcentral.